This 400-nucleotide ribosomal RNA is filed under the name uncultured bacterium. RNAcentral describes it as "bacterial SSU rRNA". It matches the Rfam family "Bacterial small subunit ribosomal RNA", at positions 356 to 773 of the family's 1533-position model. The record is from RNAcentral.
GGGGAAUAUUGGACAAUGGGCGAAAGCCUGAUCCAGCCAUGCCGCGUGAGUGAUGAAGGCCCUAGGGUUGUAAAGCUCUUUCACCGGUGAAGAUAAUGACGGUAACCGGAGAAGAAGCCCCGGCUAACUUCGUGCCAGCAGCCGCGGUAAUACGAAGGGGGCUAGCGUUGUUCGGAAUUACUGGGCGUAAAGCGCACGUAGGCGGACUGGUCAGUUAGGGGUGAAAUCCCAGGGCUCAACCCUGGAACUGCCUUUAAUACUGCCAGUCUAGAGUCCGAGAGAGGUGAGUGGAGUUCCGAGUGUAGAGGUGAAAUUCGUAGAUAUUCGGAGGAACACCAGUGGCGAAGGCGGCUCACUGGCUCGGGACUGACGCUGAGGUGCGAAAGCGUGGGGAGCAAAC